GUUUCUGUAGUGUAGUGGUUAUCAAGUUCGCCUCACACGCGAAAGGUCCCCGGUUCGAAACCGGGCAGAAACA
RNAcentral lists this transfer RNA (73 nucleotides) under Pangasianodon gigas (Mekong giant catfish). RNAcentral describes it as "tRNA-Val". It matches the Rfam family "tRNA". From Rfam's summary of the family: Transfer RNA (tRNA) molecules are approximately 80 nucleotides in length. The record is from RNAcentral. Lineage: Eukaryota; Metazoa; Chordata; Actinopteri; Siluriformes; Pangasiidae.